UACGGGGGGGGCAAGCGUUGUUCGGAAUUACUGGGCGUAAAGGGUUCGUAGGUGGCCCGCUAAGUCACACGUGAAAUCCCUCAGCUUAACUGGGGAACUGCGUGUGGGACUGGCGGGCUUGAGUGCAGGAGAGGAACGCGGAAUUCCAGGUGUAGCGGUGAAAUGCGUAGAUAUCUGGAGGAACACCGGUGGCGAAGGCGGCGUUCUGGACUGUAUCUGACGCUGAGGCGCGAAAGCGUGGGGAGCAAACAGG
Molecule: ribosomal RNA, 253 nt
Filed under: uncultured bacterium
Lineage: Bacteria
Description: partial 16S ribosomal RNA
Rfam family: Bacterial small subunit ribosomal RNA
Source: RNAcentral